UGGGGAAUAUUGGACAAUGGGCGCAAGCCUGAUCCAGCCAUGCCGCGUGAGUGAUGAAGGCCCUAGGGUUGUAAAGCUCUUUCACCGGUGAAGAUAAUGACGGUAACCGGAGAAGAAGCCCCGGCUAACUUCGUGCCAGCAGCCGCGGUAAUACGAAGGGGGCUAGCGUUGUUCGGAUUUACUGGGCGUAAAGCGCACGUAGGCGGACUUUUAAGUCAGGGGUGAAAUCACGGGGCUCAACCCCGGAACUGCCUUUGAUACUGGAAGUCUUGAGUAUGGUAGAGGUGAGUGGAAUUCCGAGUGUAGAGGUGAAAUUCGUAGAUAUUCGGAGGAACACCAGUGGCGAAGGCGGCUCACUGGACCAUUACUGACGCUGAGGUGCGAAAGAGUGGGGAGCAAAAAGG
Molecule: ribosomal RNA, 404 nt
Filed under: Actinomycetes bacterium
Lineage: Bacteria; Bacillati; Actinomycetota; Actinomycetes
Description: Actinobacteria bacterium partial 16S ribosomal RNA
Rfam family: Bacterial small subunit ribosomal RNA
Source: RNAcentral